UGCAGGUAACAUAUGAAUAAGGACCGGCUAAUUCCGUGCCAGCAGCCGCGGUAAUACGGAAGGUCCGGGCGUUAUCCGGAUUUAUUGGGUUUAAAGGGAGCGUAGGCGGCUUGUUAAGCGUGCUGUGAAAUGUAGAUGCUCAACAUCUGAACUGCAGCGCGAACUGGCGAGCUUGAGUGCGCGGGAAGUUGGCGGAAUUCGUCGUGUAGCGGUGAAAUGCUUAGAUAUGACGAAGAACUCCGAUUGCGAAGGCAGCUGACUGUAGCGUUACUGACGCUGAAGCUCGAAAGUGCGGGUAUCGAACAGGAUUAGAUACCCUG
RNAcentral lists this ribosomal RNA (320 nucleotides) under uncultured bacterium. RNAcentral describes it as "bacterial SSU rRNA". It matches the Rfam family "Bacterial small subunit ribosomal RNA", at positions 470 to 789 of the family's 1533-position model. The record is from RNAcentral.